RNAcentral lists this ribosomal RNA (442 nucleotides) under uncultured bacterium. Its description in RNAcentral is "bacterial SSU rRNA". It matches the Rfam family "Bacterial small subunit ribosomal RNA", at positions 958 to 1398 of the family's 1533-position model. The record is from RNAcentral.
AACGCGAAGAACCUUACCUACUUUUGACAUCCACGGAAUCCGUCAGAGAUGAUGGAGUGCCUUCGGGAACCGUGAGACAGGUGCUGCAUGGCUGUCGUCAGCUCGUGUCGUGAGAUGUUGGGUUAAGUCCCGUAACGAGCGCAACCCUUAUCCUUAGUUGCCAACAGGUAAAGCUGGGAACUCUAAGGAGACUGCCGGUGACAAGCCGGAGGAAGGUGGGGACGACGUCAAGUCAUCAUGGCCCUUACGAGUAGGGCUACACGCGUGUUACAAUGGACGGUACAAAGGGCAGCGAAACUGUGAAGUGGAGCGAAUCUUAUCAAAGCCGUUCGUAGUCCGGAUUGGAGUCUGCAACUCGACUCCAUGAAGUUGGAAUCGCUAGUAAUCGUGGAUCAGAACGCCACGGUGAAUACGUUCCCGGGCCUUGUACACACCGACGCAC